This 323-nucleotide unclassified non-coding RNA is filed under the name soil metagenome. RNAcentral's name for it is "partial contains 5.8S ribosomal RNA, internal transcribed spacer 2, and large subunit ribosomal RNA". The stretch from base 1 to 120 matches the Rfam family "5.8S ribosomal RNA", at positions 35 to 154 of the family's 154-position model. The record is from RNAcentral.
GAUGAAGAACGCAGCGAAAUGCGAUAAGUAAUGCGAAUUGCAGAAUUCAGUGAGUCAUCGAAUCUUUGAACGCACAUUGCGCCCUGUGGUAUUCCGCAGGGCAUGCCUGUUCGAGCGUCAUUUCAACCCUCAAGCUCUGCUUGGUGUUGGGCCCUGCCCGCUGCGGCCGGCCCUAAAGACAGUGGCGGUGCCGCCUGGCCCUGAGCGUAGUACAUCUCUCGCUCCAGUGCCCGGUGGUAGCCUGCCAGAACCCCAACUCUCGUGGUUGACCUCGGAUCAGGUAGGGAUUCCCGCUGAACUUAAGCAUAUCAAUAAGCGGAGGA